RNAcentral lists this ribosomal RNA (386 nucleotides) under uncultured bacterium. Its description in RNAcentral is "bacterial SSU rRNA". It matches the Rfam family "Bacterial small subunit ribosomal RNA", at positions 28 to 416 of the family's 1533-position model. The record is from RNAcentral.
GACGAACGCUGGCGGCGUGCUUAACACAUGCAAGUCGAGCGGUAAGGCCCUUUCGGGGGUACACGAGCGGCGAACGGGUGAGUAACACGUGGGUGACCUGCCCUUAGCUCUGGGAUAAGCCUGGGAAACUGGGUCUAAUACCGGAUAUGACUCCAUGACGCAUGUUGUGGGGUGAAAGCCUUGUGCGGCUAGGGAUGGGCCCGCGGCCUAUCAGCUUGUUGGUGGGGUGANGGCCUACCAAGGCGACGACGGGUAGCCGGCCUGAGAGGGCGACCGGCCACACUGGGACUGAGACACGGCCCAGACUCCUACGGGAGGCAGCAGUGGGGAAUCUUGCGCAAUGGGCGAAAGCCUGACGCAGCGACGCCGCGUGAGGGAUGACGGCC